CCGAAGUGUCACAGGAUGAAUCUACGCUAUUUGGAGAGGGAGUAUACAUUUAACUUGCAGCAAUCCCUGGAAGAAAAAUUCUACUAGCAGAGAUGCUCUGAGCAGAGAGAAAGCCUGUCUGUAUAGUGAGAGAAUGAAACCAAUACAUUGAAAAAAACUGAGAAGAGAAAGAGGUAGAGACUUCACCUGAUACAAGCACGCCUGAAACAAGAGACACCUGUAUGAUUCCAUCUUCCCAGGAGCUAGCAGCCAGUUCUUGUUGAGUUCAAGCCAGUUGAGACCAUCAACUCUUCAACUGAGCCUGCAUGGCCCUGUUUUCAGGGAGGUGGAUUUGCGAUUUGUUCUCCUUCUCCUUGCUCAGCAGCCUGGUGAGCAAUCUCACAAAAUGAAAUCUUUUCUUUUUUGCAAA
RNAcentral lists this non-coding RNA (409 nucleotides) under Pongo abelii (Sumatran orangutan). Lineage: Eukaryota; Metazoa; Chordata; Mammalia; Primates; Hominidae. The record is from RNAcentral.